This 101-nucleotide small RNA is filed under the name Mytilus galloprovincialis (Mediterranean mussel). The record is from RNAcentral. Lineage: Eukaryota; Metazoa; Mollusca; Bivalvia; Mytilida; Mytilidae.
AACCACCGGCACGCGUCUCAGAUUUUUUCCCCCCUUUUGUUGUAUUAAGGUAUGGUAUAUAGGGGGGAAAAUCUGAGACAAGUGCCUGUGGAUUUAACGGG